CCUACGGGACGCAGCAGUGAGGAAUAUUGGUCAAUGGGCGGAAGCCUGAACCCGCCAAGUAGCGUGCAGGAUGACGGCCCUACGGGUUGUAAACUGCUUUUAUACGGGAAUAACGCGCCUUACGUGUAGGGCUUUGCAUGUACCGUAUGAAUAAGGACCGGCUAAUUCCGUGCCAGCAGCCGCGGUCAUACGGAAGUGCCGGGCGUUCGCCGGAUUUAUUGGGUUUAAAGGGAGCGGAGGCCGCAUGUCAAGCGUGCUGUGAAAUGUCCGGGCUCAACCCGGGCCUUGCAGCGCAACCUGGCGUGCUUGAGUCCGCGGAAAGCAGGCGGAAUUCGUGGU
This 339-nucleotide ribosomal RNA is filed under the name uncultured bacterium. Its description in RNAcentral is "partial 16S ribosomal RNA". It matches the Rfam family "Bacterial small subunit ribosomal RNA", at positions 338 to 674 of the family's 1533-position model. The record is from RNAcentral.